RNAcentral lists this ribosomal RNA (711 nucleotides) under uncultured bacterium. RNAcentral's name for it is "bacterial SSU rRNA". It matches the Rfam family "Bacterial small subunit ribosomal RNA", at positions 1 to 695 of the family's 1533-position model. The record is from RNAcentral.
CGGCCGCGGGAUUCGAUUAGAGUUUGAUUAUGGCUCAGGACGAACGCUGGCGGCGUGCUUAACACAUGCAAGUCUACGAGAAUAAGGUAGCAAUAUCUUUAGUAAAGUGGCGCACGGGUGCGUAACACGUAAGCAAUCUACCUUUGGGUCUGGAAUAACUUCGAGAAAUCGAGGCUAAUACCGGAUAAUGCAGCGGCACCGCAUGGUGAUGUUGUUAAAGUUUAAGUAAUGCCUAUAGAUGAGCUUGCGCCUGAUUAGCUAGUUGGUAGGGUAAAGGCCUACCAAGGCAACGAUCAGUAGCUGGUCUGAGAGGAUGAUCAGCCACACUGGAACUGAGACACGGUCCAGACUCCUACGGGAGGCAGCAGUGAGGAAUAUUGGGCAAUGCCCGCAAGGGUGACCCAGCAACGCCGCGUGGAGGAUGAAGGCCGUAAGGUUGUAAACUCCUGUUAGAGGAGAAGAACAGUACCGAUUGGAUCGGUAUUUGACUGUACCCUCAGAGAAAGCCCCGGCUAACUACGUGCCAGCAGCCGCGGUAAUACGUAGGGGGCAAGCGUUGUCCGGAUUUACUGGGUGUAAAGGGCGCGCAGGCGGGAUAGCAAGUCAGAGGUGAAAUCCUACAGCUUAACUGUAGAACUGCCUUUGAUACUGUUAUUCUUGAGUUCGGGAGAGAGAGACGGAAUUCCAGGUGUAGUGGUGAAAUACGUAGNU